Long non-coding RNA from Mya arenaria, 1866 nucleotides. RefSeq lists it as uncharacterized. The transcript has 4 exons. NCBI's taxonomy places the organism in Eukaryota, Metazoa, Mollusca, Bivalvia, Myida, Myidae. The record is from RefSeq and is a predicted model, not a curated record.
GCUGGUCAUUUAACCAAUCAAGAGCGAAUAAUCAAUAGCCAAUCGUAACAGCGGGAUGCAGAAAGUGCGAGAAUCUAUAUCAUCUGUGUCAUUACAUGAGCCAAAUAGCAACAAGGAAGAAUACCCAACAAUAAUGAGUGACCUGAUGCCCUGUGCAAUUUGACCUAAUGCCUGAAGCCAAGAAAUUGCAGAAUGGAACUCAUAUUAGUUGUGGAAUUUUUCUUGAUGUUUGUUUUAACAGCCUGUAUAAAUUGUUGUUUGACAAGACAGUGGAAUUUUAAUAAUAGAACAUUUUGUUUGAGCAACUGAAAUGAUUAUGCUCUGGCAGCCAUGGUGUGCAGUGGACUGGAACCAUUUAACAAAUUUUGGUUAAUGACCACCCAAGGAACAUUUCUGUCAAGUUUCAUCAAAUUCUGAUCAUCGGUUAACAUUUAAUCUGAAUAGAUUAUGAAGCAAAUAUCUAACCUGAACAAGAACUGACGAGAUAGAAUCGACUUGGUGUUUCACUUACACUUUUCGGCCAUUUAAGUUACUAAAAAUAGCUGUUUCAUAAACUUUCAGAAUGUCACUUAAACGAAAAUUAAUGUUCAGUCUAUAUAUACUUUCCUAUGUAUAAAUGUAAGGUUUUUAAAUUGAUCUUUUUGUGAGAACUUUAUGCUUAUAUGUUUACUCAUAAAUUAUUAUUGUUUAAAAAUUAUUUAAAGAUGCUAUACGUGAAAAAUUAAGACAUUAUUUUUUUUUCUAUUAAAGGGAGGUAAUUCAGUAGUAAAAUGUAAUCAAAGCUAUUAAAGCAUGGCAUUUCUUUUCUAACCAUGUUGAUAUUAUUACAGUCUAUUCAAGCAAGAUGCCUUUUGUUUUUACAUAGUACCCAUAGGUUCUGAAAAACAAGGAGCACUAUUCCCAACAGAAGGAUGUCACUCCCUAUCACUGCAUGAGCAUCAUAAUAAAGAAAUGUUUACUCAAACUGCAAGCUGCUCAAUUGAAAUAGGACUACAACAAUACAUCUCAAAUCCCCCUCAGCUACCCUUAAACAAGGACAACACAACUCCAGAACAGCCAAAGAACACUUUUAAACUAAAAGAGACUGCAGAACUAUGUAACCUAUUCAAGGAAAACCAUCACAAGCUCUACAAAACUAGCAAAGGACAUUCAAAAACAACACACUCCAAAGCUGCAAAAGGACAAUUCUAGUCAACAUAUGGACACAACAUUGCUUGUCAAAACACCUGUGCAAAGACUGCUGAAAAACUACCUAAGAAAAUCCAUGUCUACCCAAAAAGCACAAGGAUAUUCAAGAACUGCACAAUUCAUCCAGAUAAUCCCAUGUACCAAAUUUUAUAAAUCAACUAUUAUGUAUUUGACGAGAUACAGAGACAAUUGUGGUACCAAUACCAGACAAUUGAAGACAAUAUAUGCCAGAACUCACUCUGUAACGACAAAACUCAGCCAAUAUCAGCAAAACUCAAAUAAUAUGAGUUUCCUCCGUUUUGAUUGGCUCGCCUUAUAUAGGAUUUGUGAAAUGAGCCAUUUUCAUUGGCUGUCAAAACUCGCCUUAUAUGAGAAAUAUGCUGGAAAUUAUUUUUAAAGGUAGCCAUUUUGUUUUCCGUUUCUGACUCAGCUUUUGCAAAUGUUGUGCUUCGUAUUAAUCUAUUUGGAAUACUUGAACCUAUUGAAUAAUUGACCACUUAUACAGUUUGAUAUAACAGUUGUAUAAGAAUAAGUUGUUUUUUUAUCUCAUACUUGAUUUUGUGUGGCAUUAAUAUUUUGGAUGCUGCAAUAUAAUUUUGUAACCAUUUCAACACAUUAGUAUUGUAUUGAAGCGAAAUGUUGGCUAUGCUCAUUAAAUCAUACGUUGCUGCUUAUAAA